Molecule: ribosomal RNA, 329 nt
Filed under: uncultured eukaryote
Lineage: Eukaryota
Description: partial 18S ribosomal RNA
Rfam family: Eukaryotic small subunit ribosomal RNA
Source: RNAcentral
CCCUUAGAUGUCCGGGGCCGCACGCGCGCUACACUGAAGGAAUCAGCGUGGCUUUCUCCCUGACCCGAAAGGGUUGGGAAACCCGUUGAAUCUCCUUCGUGAUAGGGAUUGGGGCUUGAAAUUGUUCCCCAUGAACGAGGAAUUCCCAGUAAGCGCGAGUCAUAAGCUCGCGUUGAUUACGUCCCUGCCCUUUGUACACACCGCCCGUCGCUACUACCGAUUGAAUGGCUUAGUGAGCCUUUGGGAUUGGCAGCUUGUACCGGCAACGGUAGCAGGCCGCUGAAAACUUAGGCAAACUUGGUCAUUUAGAGGAAGUAAAAGUCGUAACA